RNAcentral lists this long non-coding RNA (6688 nucleotides) under Salvia miltiorrhiza (redroot sage). RNAcentral describes it as "long non-coding RNA (SMIL_LNC007071)". The record is from RNAcentral. Lineage: Eukaryota; Viridiplantae; Streptophyta; Magnoliopsida; Lamiales; Lamiaceae.
CAUUGUAUGUGCAAAUUGGAGCUACAUUUAAUUUAGUUUCACAAUGUAAGAAUUAUGUAUGUGAAAUCUUGAUUGAAAUCGAGAUCUCUGUUUUGUCUGAGCUUGUAAGUUGAUGUGUGGCGAUCUUUUAGUGAGAUUUGAACUCGAGGCCCUCCAAUACCUCCAGUGGUAUCUGAGGUUCAUUUUCAUCAUUGGAAACUGAGCAUCGAAAAUAAUAAGCAAUUAGUUUUCUUGGGGAGAAAAACAGAAACAUAGAAAAAGCAUCACCUUGAGGCUUGAACAAGAACUGCUGCAAGAAACAGUAUGAAUAAGAAAGAGAUUUAAUUGUUACUGCUGAGCUCUAUCUGUGUAUUAAUUGUUUGUCACUUGUCAAUAGUUUUUAACUGCCUCCUGUUUGGGAAGCACGAAACAGAUUGAAUCCCUUAGCUCAACUUGACAACCAACAGCAAUAUUGAUGGAGGGUAGCAACGAAGCAGCAGAUCUGGAGAGACAAAUUGCAUCUGCAGCUCCUUCAAAUUGUUUGGUAAAAUACAAACAACUUAUAAACUGCAAAAAUAAGCUUUAAGAAAAAUAAGUUCCUCUAUCCCAACUUAUUUUUCAUAAUCUUAUAUGCAACCAUCAUUUUACAAAUAUUAUUCAACUAUUGUUUAUUUAUUUCUAUCGUGUAACUUUUCAAGUUCGUCCUCUUCAAUGUUCUCUCUCUUGAAACAUCUUAUGCAGCUCUAGUUUAAUUCGUUGCUCUUCUCAACAAAUCGAUGGCGGGAGCUUAUGCAGCUAUAGUUUCUCUGAUGAAUACAGUGGAGCAGAUCCAAAACCACCCUCAAGUUUCCACUUUUCUUGAUCAUUGCCAGAUUGAGAUCCUCCGCGAAAAGGUUUUCUUUCUUCCUAGAUUUUAUGCUGAUUGUGGAGAAAGGACAGAGGCUUGCGAAGGAGACAGCGCUGUUGCAGUGUAAGAAGGAAGCUAUUGAGGCAUUGCCCGAGCAUCUCAAAGAGGCUGCUUUAGUCCCGGAUUUGACUCCUUUUCCAGCAAACCGAUUUAUGGCAACACUGACCCCACCAAUCGAAGGCUAUAGCGAGAAGAUCAACGAGGCAGCAGCACGGAAGAGUGUUGAAGGGAAGAAGCGCAGAUGAUAAGAGGUUAGAAUGCUAUUUCAUAAUUCUUUCACAAUCAAAAGCUAUCAUGCAUGUUUAAGUGUUGGAAGGGGAGUCUUUACUUUGGGUGAUAGCUUACAUAGUUAACAAUAAUAUAGGCUAAUCCACUGCAUACAGUUUGAUGGAUUGAAUAAUUUUGAGCUUGUUUGAACAUCCAAUAUAAUUCUUCAAAUUCGCAAUCAUGUAUUGUUAAUCUCUUCCAUCGCCCUCUUAAAGAAUAAUCGUAAUCCCGUUGGAGGUUUUAACUGCAUAAAUUUUGACCUUUAAUAAACCUGCUGCUAGUAAGUGGCAUUCAAAAAGCAUGGCAAAGACUGAUUAAGAAAUCAAAUAAUUCUCAAUUCUCUUCUACUUCUCUACUUAUUUUUUUGGCCAAUUCUUUGGUAGAAAUGACUGAAAAUUUUCUAUUGUCACCAGGCGACGCCUCAGCAUGGGUUUGCGACUUCAAUUUGCAGUGAUCUUGGGCCUACGAUGACUAUAUUUCUUGCAACGAUUCGUUUCUACGUAGCUUUGGUUAGUUAAGUCACUAUGCAUUGAUAGUUGUUUGCUGCAAAUAAGAAUAUAGCAGUAGCCAUAUAGCAUUCUUCUUCAGCGGUUGUUUUUUACUUGCUACUCUUUUUUGAAUGGUAAUUGCGAAUCAUUGUGGAUCAUUUUAUUGCCUUCUUGAAUCUUGUCAUCUCAUAUUUAACAUUUCAAUUAUUAAAUGGAACAUGAAAUUCUAUGACACCAAAUAUUUCUUUAUUUGCUUUGAGCUAGCAGUUCAUGUUUGAAAAGGCAAGAAGUUGGAUAUUUUGUGUUUGGUUGAGGAUUUUACUUAAUUUUAACAUAAUGGACUGUAAUUUACAUUUAUCAAUAAAUAAUUGUGUUUUUAAAACAUAAUGCUACGAGCCUUAUUCCGUGAAGAGAAAUGUGAAGACGGCUCGAAUAUGUUCAAAGAGAUGCAAGCACUACAAGUGUCUCAAAGAUAAAGGCGUCAUUUCAAACAUAGUAACUUUACAUGCAAUGAUAAUAAAGUUACACGAGGUGUGCGUGUGUUGGCCAAGCGGUAAGGGGUUAAUGUCUAAGGCCAAAGGUCUUGGGUUCGAGUUCUAUGGCGCGGCCUUUAAAAUUUUUUUAUUUAAUACUGUUAAAUUAUCAAAAAAAAAAAAAAAAAAGUCACAGCAAAGGAUUCGUUCGAUGAACAAUUGAGGCUAAAAAUUCGAUGAUGCAAAUUGUAAAUAACAACUCUUGCUGAUUGUGUGCGUACAAUGUUUUUGUUCAAUGUCUUUUCCAAUCGAGCAAGAUGCAAGAUGCAAUUUUGUUGUUGGAUUGAAUGAGAAACAUAUUUGAUGCACGUUAUUUCGAUUUUGAUUAAACAUCUAUCAUUAUUUCGAUUUUAAUUAAACAUUUGCAGAGCGAAGGUAGAAAAUAGUGUUUUUUUUUACAAGCUUAAGAAACUUAUAUCAACAAAUAUAUUUUUUGUUUGUACAGUUUACAUAUUUCACUAAGAAAAGUGUGGUAAUUUUUUUGUUUAUAUUAAUAAACUAGUUCAAGAAAAAUGAAAAUAUGUAAACUGAUUUUUAGAAAUGAAAGCACAAUGAUCCAAUUUUAACAGAACGAAAGCACAACUUAAUUUUGAUAAUCAAAGUAAAUAAAAUUGAUCCACGAAUCAAAGUAGAAUGAGUAGGUUCUAGAUAUGAUAUUUUUUUGUUCACUAUCAUUAAAUAAUUAUUUGAUUUUUUCAUGUUCAUAGCAUAACUGAUAAGCUAGUAUUGUUAUAUACUAGCAGAAAUACGUACAUAUAAUUAAUGUUAUUUUAAUUGAUAAUUUAUUAUUUAAAAAAAAUCUAUUAAUUCAUUACUUUUAGAUGUAAUAAAUGUAAUAAAUCUAUUAAGUUAACGCACCCAUAAAGUAUUCUUUAUAGAUUUGGAUGACAAAUAAAUGUAUAUCAAAAUAGAUUUAUAUUUUAUAAACAUAAUAAUAAAUAUGUAGCAUGAGUAAAAUAGACAAUCCAUAAAUUGUGUCUUACAUUGCCUUACGCUCUUUUUCUAUUAGUAUAGAUUUAACAAAUGUAGUAUAAAAUUGUAAUUUUCUAGUGGGACCCCUCCAUCCAUAUUUAGAUGUAAUGACCAACUAAUUCAAUGUUUGAUGCGGUAUAUUAGGGUGGAUAAAUUGUAUUUCUAAUGUUUGAUGCGGUAGUUUAUUAAUAAGUGAAGCUCGCAUUUAUUUGGGGGCCCGUCGUAAUUUCACUGUAGCAAAAACAUAAUUAAUUCAGCGCCUAUGGAGAGAUUUCUAAUAUUGAUAGCUACAGUGGCUGAGAUUAUAAUUUAAGUAGUCGAAAUUGUCCCUUGCUUCAUUUUCAGGUGGUCAUUUCACAAUAUAAGUGGAGGGUAAGGUGGUCAUUUCACAAUAUAAGCUACACCAUAAUGUAUUUUAAUGUCUGCUAUCAAACAAUAAAUUCCUAUUAACUGGAGAUUAUUUAGGAGCUAUCAACCAAUGAUAAAUUUAAUUAAUUUCAAUAAAUGUGUAUUAUAAAUAAUUAAUCUCUAGAUUACCAUCAAACACCAUAAGAGUAUUUAAAAACUAUGACCAUAAAAAAAAUACAAAACCUGAAUUUAGGAGUUAUCACUAAUUUAGAUACUUUGACUAAUUCAUAACCAAAUAUAUUAAACUUUAUGAGCAAGAAAAAUAAGACAAAAUCCGUCCACCAAUUGCAAGGAAUUUAUCUUCAUUUCUGUUUUUAAUAAAGUCCUAUUCUUUAGGAUUAGUUGAGAUAUUUUAUUGUUUUCAGUUAUGUUUUUAUUUGGAAGACUAUUUAACACAACACCAACUUUGUUUAUUUUCAAUUAAAUUAAUGUGCUUUUGCACUUUUCUUAUCUAUCAUACACCUUUUUCAUUCAUCUCUUCCAAACCUUCUAAAAAAUUAUCACUUUAAAAGAAAAAUUAGAGUGAGAAUGAGGCGAAAUCACGCUGCCAUGAUUUUGGGAAGAAUUAUCUCCAAUUCUUCUUUCAAUUCAUCCACUCUCCCCAUUGCUUCUCUACACUCGUUUCUUGUCAAACCCAGAUUCAAUUUUGAUAAUCUCACCCACCAAAUUAGAUACUUCUCCCCCUAUCCCAGAUUCAAUCUUGAAUCUAUACGUGAGCCCAAUGAUGCCGUCGCUCUAUUUCGGGAAAUGGUGAGGGCGCAGCCGCUCCCUUAUGCUUCUGUUUUCAGUAAAUUGUUGAGUACUGUGGUCAAGAUGAAACAAUACUCUCUUGCCCUUCAUCUGAUCGAUGAAAUGCUUCAAAGGCAUGUUCCUGUAAAUCACUACACGUUGAGUAUUGCGAUUGAUUGCUAUUGCCGACUGAAAAGACCUGAUUUUGGGUUUGCGAUCUUAGGCAUUUUUUUCAAGCGUGGGUACGAGCCUACUGUGGUAACCUUCAACAUUCUCGUGAAGGGCCUUCUGUUUGUUGAAAGGAUCCCAGAGGCAGCUAAAUUGUUGGGGAAGCUGUCGGCCUACCAACUGUGCGAGCCCGAUGAGUAUACGUAUAGUACUAUAAUUAAUGGGUUAUGCAAAGCUGGAGAUAUUCUACAGGCGAUUGAUUUGCUCUGCUCAUUGGAAAAAGGAAAAGGGAGCUGCAAACCCGAUGUCUAUGCUUACAGCAUAGUCAUUGAUGGUCUAUGCAAGAGCGGAAAGGUGGACGAAGCCCUCCAACUCUUCUUCACUUUGGGUGAUAGGGGGAUUUCACCAAAUGUCGUGACAUAUAGUUCAAUAAUAGAGGGGUUGUGCAAGAUGAGAAGAAUGGACGAGGCUCAAGACAUUUUAAAGAAGAUGAUAGCUAAUAAGGUAUGCCCAAAUGUGUGGACGUGUAGUAUCUUUGUGGAUGCUUGGUGCAGAGAUGGAAUGGUGGAAGAGGCUGAACAUAUGUUGGUAUCUAUGAAGGAGAUUGAUGUUCAACCCAACAUUGUCAUAUACAAUGCAUUGAUUGAUGGGUACUGUUUGCAAGGAAAAGUGGAUGAUGCCGAACGCAUUUUCCAAUUAGCAGUGAAUUCUGGAAUCAAUCCCGAUAUCAUAAGCUACACUAGCUUGAUGAACGGGUAUUGCAAAAUUGGGCGAGUUAAUAAAGUUUCGCGUAUUUUUAGCGAAAUUCGCACCGAAGGGUUAGAGCGCGAUGUUAUUUGUUAUGGAAUAAUGCUAGAGGCGCUAUUUCGUGAAGGCAGAUGUGAGGAUGGCUUGAAUUUGUUCAAAGAGAUGCAAGCUCUAGGAUUGUCUCCUGAUGUGAAGACUUACAAUAUCUUGUUGGAUGGUCUGUGCAGUGCUCAUCGUAUCACUGAAGCAUUUUCCAUAUUGCACACUAUGGAAGGUAAAGGCAUCGUUCCAGACAUAGUAACAUUCAAUAUUCUCAUUGAGGGAUUGUGCAACGACAACAAAGUCAGAGAAGCAAAAGAUCUAUUUGACAAGCUUCCAUCCAAAGGUUUGCAGCCUGACGUCAUAACUUAUACAAUCCUUAUCGGUGCACUUUGUGAGGAAGGGCAGAUAGAGGAGGCUAAGGAUUUGAUGAUGCAAAUGGUAAGCAACGGUUGCUUGCCUAAUAGUGUAACAUACAAUGUUUUUGUUCGAGGUCUUCUCAAAAUGAACAAGAUGCUUGAUGCAAUGCAACUUUUGGAAGAGAUGGAUUCAAGGGGAUUUACACUUGACAAAACUGCAUAUUCGAUGUUGAUUGAACAUGUUAAAAUGGAAGGUAGAGAUAGUGUUCUGGUUGAUAAGGUUAAGAAACUUUUACCGAAGGACUUCUAUUCUAGUUAGGUUUUAUGUUGUGUUUGAAGGUCAAGAAUUAUUGCAAUAGAGAUUAAGGGGAAAGUACAAUUGCUUAUUUGUUUAUUUAAUCUUUAUGUUAUGAUGAUUUAAAAAUGUUUCAAUUUUGUAGUUGUGAUGUUGUUUAUGUAAUCUCUAUGUUUUCUACAUAUAAUAAAGUGCCCCUCUCUCUCUCUGUCUCACCUAUGACACACACAUUUGUAGUAGUAGGCACUGUUGGUGGGAUUGUUACUUGGAUUGGGAGUUACAUUGUAUAUGCAAAUUGGAGCUACAUUUAAUUUAGUUUCACAAUGUAAGCAUUAUGUAUAUGAAUUCUUGAUUGAAAUCAAGAUCUCUGUUUUGUCUGAGUUUGUAAGUUGAUGUGUGGCAAUCUUUUAGUGAGAUUUGAACUCGAGGCCCUCCAAUACCUCCUGUGGUAUCUGAGGUUCAUUUUCAUCAUUGAAAACUGAGCAUCGAAAAUAAUAAGCAAUUAGUUUUCUUGGGGAGAAAAAAAGAAACACAGAAGAAGCAUCACCUUGAACAAGAACUGCCGCAAGAAACAGUAUGAAUAAGAACAAAGUGAUGGAAGGGAUGUGAAUGGGGGGGAGAGAGAGAGAGGUUACUGCUGAGCUCUAUCUGUGUAUUAAUUGUUUUUCACUUGUCAAUAGUUUUUAACUGCCUCCUGUUUGGGAAGCACGACACAGAUUCUAAAGGAUAAGGGCAAUGUUCCUGUUUGAGGCAACAUCCCCACCAAUCGAAGGCUAUAGCGAGAAGAUCAAUGAGGC